Molecule: ribosomal RNA, 513 nt
Filed under: uncultured bacterium
Lineage: Bacteria
Description: partial 16S ribosomal RNA
Rfam family: Bacterial small subunit ribosomal RNA
Source: RNAcentral
GACGAACGCUGGCGGCGUGCUUAACACAUGCAAGUCGAACGAAAAGAGGGAAAGAGCUUGCUCUUUCCGGAAUUGAGUGGCAAACGGGUGAGUAACACGUAAACAACCUGCCUUCAGGAUGGGGACAACAGACGGAAACGACUGCUAAUACCGAAUAAGUUCCAAGAGCCGCAUGGCCCAUGGAAGAAAAGGUGGCCUCUACCUGUAAGCUAUCGCCUGAAGAGGGGUUUGCGUCUGAUUAGCUGGUUGGAGGGGUAACGGCCCACCAAGGCGACGAUCAGUAGCCGGUCUGAGAGGAUGAACGGCCACACUGGAACUGAGACACGGUCCAGACUCCUACGGGAGGCAGCAAUGGGGAAUCUUCCGCAAUGGGCGAAAGCCUGACGGAGCAACGCCGCGUGAGUGAUGACGGCCUUCGGGUUGUAAAACUCUGUGAUCCGGGACGAAAAGGCAGAGUGCGAAGAACAAACUGCAUUGACGGUACCGGAAAAGCAAGCCACGGCUAACUACGUG